RNAcentral lists this ribosomal RNA (706 nucleotides) under Streptomyces echinoruber. RNAcentral's name for it is "bacterial SSU rRNA". It matches the Rfam family "Bacterial small subunit ribosomal RNA", at positions 55 to 777 of the family's 1533-position model. The record is from RNAcentral. Lineage: Bacteria; Bacillati; Actinomycetota; Actinomycetes; Kitasatosporales; Streptomycetaceae.
AUGCAGUCGAACGAUGAACCACUUCGGUGGGGAUUAGUGGCGAACGGGUGAGUAACACGUGGGCAAUCUGCCCUGCACUCUGGGAUAACCCCGGGAAACCGGGGCUAAUACCGGAUACGACUCCCGGGGGCAUCCCCGGGGGUGGAAAGCUCCGGCGGUGCAGGAUGAGCCCGCGGCCUAUCAGCUGGUUGGUGAGGUAACGGCUCACCAAGGCGACGACGGGUAGCCGGCCUGAGAGGGCGACCGGCCACACUGGGACUGAGACACGGCCCAGACUCCUACGGGAGGCAGCAGUGGGGAAUAUUGCACAAUGGGCGCAAGCCUGAUGCAGCGACGCCGCGUGAGGGAUGACGGCCUUCGGGUUGUAAACCUCUUUCAGCAGGGAAGAAGCCGCAAGGUGACGGUACCUGCAGAAGAAGCGCCGGCUAACUACGUGCCAGCAGCCGCGGUAAUACGUAGGGCGCGAGCGUUGUCCGGAAUUAUUGGGCGUAAAGAGCUCGUAGGCGGCUUGUCGCGUCGGUUGUGAAAGCCCGGGGCUCAACCCCGGGUCUGCAGUCGAUACGGGCAGGCUGGAGUUCGGCAGGGGAGAUCGGAAUUCCUGGUGUAGCGGUGAAAUGCGCAGAUAUCAGGAGGAACACCGGUGGCGAAGGCGGAUCUCUGGGCCGAUACUGACGCUGAGGAGCGAAAGCGUGGGGAGCGAACAGGA